GAGAGAGAGAGAGAGAGAGAAUCCAAGAAGGCUCUGCUGACAGCACAGAGCCUGAGAAGGGCUUCAUCCCACGAACCGCAAGAUCAGGAGGCAAAAUCAAGAGCCAGGCACUUAACCAACUGAGCCUCCCAGGUGCCCCCAAUUUUCAUUAUUUCUACAGAAACGUCAUUAAUGAGUCUUUUUUUGGUUGUUGUUGGUUUUAAUAUAAUGUGGUUUUUUUUCCAGCUGCAUUUUAUAAUUUUAUCUUUGUCUUGUAUUUUCAACCAUUUUACUGUGAUGUACUUAAGUGUCUUUAGUUUGGUUAACUAUUAGUGUAACAAAUUAUCCCAGAUUUGGUGGCAUAGACCAAUAUUUCAUUAUGUGUAGAGAUUCUGUAGUUAUGAAUUUGGACACAGUACAGCUAUAUUGGUUGGUUUCUUCCCAGGAUGUUUGUGGUUUUUCGUCUGGGAAUACUGAAAUGAUUGCUUCCUGGAAUCCUCUUGGGGGCUUCUUCUCUCACACAUCUGGCAUCUGUAAUAGGAUAACCUACCCUCUGGGCUUAGCUGAGUCUGGUGACCAGAUCACCUACAUGUGACCUUUCUGGGGUAAUAGUAUCUUCAUAAAAUGAGUUGGCAAUUAUCCUCUUCUUAUUUUUGGAAGAGUUGGUAUACGAUUGUGUUAUUCUUUAAAUGUUUGCUAUAAUUCACCAGACAAUGCUGUGAUGAACAUCCUUGUACAUCUCUACACACUUGACUGAUUAUUUAAUUGGGAUAAAGUUCAAAAAGUGACACUGUUGGAUCUACAUAAGAUUUGACAGUUUUAUUUUUGAGAUGGGUUUUGAAGAAUGGAAUGCAUUUCAUCAGGUGAAGAAUCAACGCAGAGUCUGAUGUGAGCUUAAUCCCACAAACCGUGAGAUCAUGACCAGAGCCAAAAUCAAGAGUCGGAUGCUUAACUGACUGAACCACCCAGGCACCCCCCAAACAAAUAUUUAGAGAUGGACAAGAAAUUCUGAGUUUGGAUACUAUUUAAUUGGAUUUUCAUCUCUUGUCUAGCAUGUUAUAAAACUUCUGAGGUAAGGUAUAGCCUUUACCCAAGUCUUAUAUUCCUUUCUUUUUUAAAAGAGUAUAUGCAAAAAUUAGAACUUUUGAUUAUUUAUAACUUGGAUAAAAAUACUGUUUUCAGCAUUGAUUGAAGAUCACAACAUGUUGACUUCAGAGCUAUAAAAUAUAUUCUGUGUCAGUCUCUCUAUUAAGAAUGGGACAUUUGUUUUCUUUUCAGUGUGGAUGUAUAUAUUUAAUAGCAUGCACACUCUGGUCAGAGGUCUAUAACUAAACAUUAACUGGAGGUUUGGCUAAUAUCUGCAUAAUAAGGGAUUUUUAAAAAUCUGCUUAAGAAAACUCUCAUAAUUGUCUAUAUUUAAUUUAUGAAAUUUUGAUUUUUCUGGAAUCGCAUGAAGGGACUCUGAAGACAAUAAUGUGAAAAAACAGAAUUCUGGAUAAGUAGUGUGACAUUUACUCAGAAAAGAAAAUAAAUCUAGGACAAAAGUUGAGAAAAACAGUUAUCAGUUUGCAAGAUUAUAUAAAACCUGGGGAAGUAUUUUAGAGGACAAAGUCUUUGUCUCUACUCCCUACAGGGAAUCCCUUAUGUUCUAAAAUCUGUGUGUGAUAGAAAGUCAUUUGAAUAUUGCUUUAUAAUACUUCCUCAAUACUCCCUAGAGGAUUUGUUUAUUUUAAUAUGUCUGCAGGAUAUUUUCAAGGAAUGUUUAAUGACAUGAGAAAAUGAUCACAAUGUGAAUGGAAAAUGGAAACAAAAUUGUAAAUACAAUAUCAUUUCCAUUCUGUAAUUAAAUUAAUUAAACAAACAUAUAAACAUGAAUUUUAGUAAAUAUAUCACAAUACUUUUGGGGGGUUCUUAAAUUAAAAUUCAUUGAAAAUUUUCUAUGCAUAUAUAUUUUUCAGCUUCUUAACACUGAACUUUUACUUUUGUAUACUUGUAGAGGAGAGGACAGUCUACUUAUAGUUGUGGCUCUUGUUUUUUCUAUUGAAGUUUCAGCAUUUUUUCUCAGAGAUUUGUAUGAAUUUUCUGUAUAUCAAGAAAAAUAAUCUUUGAAUUGUAUAUAGUAGCAUAAGUUAGUUUUGCAUUAUAGUGUUAUGAAAAAUUUCAAAUCACUGACUGAUGAAUCUUUUUCAAGUUCAGGAGUUUGUUGUGUCCAUUCUGAUUGCAAUAUACAAGGUGACAAAUUUUCAUUCAUAGUUGAGCUUAAUGAAAAUGUAGAUGUGGUUUAGUUAAAGUUUAUGAUUUGUAUAUUAAAGUACAGCAUGAUGAAUGUGUUAAAAUUACAAGGCCAGAGGUAGCUGCCAACCCAGUGACAUGUACUAAGGAUGAGGAGGAGUGCUUAGUUGCUUCACGUAAGCUACAAAGGCUCUUAUUCAGCGUGUAAUCUUCAGUUUUCAACGGGAGGAUGGAAAAAGUUUGAAAUCCAGAUCACUGCUUGCUUUAUCAAAACAUUAAAGACUCAGCUAUGUUUCUUUUUAAUAGGUGAGUGCUAGGAGCUGGCUGGCUAGGUAAUUUCAUUUUUCUUGAGGGCCUAGGUAUUUAUUCCCUGAGGAUUAGUUGGCUCCCAGAUAGUGGAUAUGAAACAUGUAAGAGCUUGUUCACAAAAAACAGAGUGGAGUUUAAAGGUGUGAACUCUAUGUACGUUGCUGAACAAUUCUGUGAUUUUUUUUAAAGACCUUGAGAAUGAAAGAGUAGCUCAUUGUUUAAAAUAGAAAACAAAACAAAACAAACUUACUGUUGAGUGACUGCUGAAUUUUUGUGAUGAACUUGAAAGGACUUCAAACGCUUUUUUAAUGUCUUUAUGAUUUAUAUUUGCUCUGAGGAUUUGGGGAAUAGUGGAGAAAUACCUAAAAAAUACAGUAACCUAAUUAAUAUACUGUAAAUAGUCUCUUGGAAGUAAGGAAUGGAAAAUUGGAUCCAUUGUGAGUUCCAAUGUAGUCUAUUUUAUGAAAAUGGAUGUGCCUUGAAGAAGAAUUUGGUGCUGCUGUGUAAUUGAGGUAAAGCAAAUAAAUAAAUAAAUAUUAAGAAAAAUUUAAAAAGGCAAGGGUAUCUGAGUUCAGAUCAUGGCUCUACAGUUAAUGCUUUACAUGACCCUAAUAAAGCUAUAGCAGAAUAAUAUGAUGGAGAGUAUCAAAUUUAAUUUCUUUAAGUUAUGUGGCACUACUUGUGUGAUUUACUCUCUCAACUUUAUUUUUGUUGUCUACAAAGUGGUGAUACCACUAUAUAUUUUUCAGGGAUUAUUGUGAUGAUUAAAUAAGUAUAUAAAGUGCCUAGGACAGUACCUGGUAUUUUUUACAGACUCAGUAAAUGGUAUUCUGUAUAGAUGUUUACAUGUCUUCCUUCUGUUUAACUGUGAGUUUAACCUGGGGUCCAUAGAAUCUAGGGGAUAAUGGAGGUUCUCCAUUUAGAGAUCUCCCUAAAUUCUGUGCAAAAUUUUGUGUAUGUGCUUAUUUAUAGAGAAGGUGUGUAGUUUUCAUUAGAUCUAAAACUUCUCUACUAAAGCCCUUGAUUACAAACAUACAUGUUAAACUCUGUUCAAUUUAAAAGCCAAUUUAUUUUAUAGUCUAGAUUAACAAUUUAAUUGUAGACAAUUUAAAGGAAUGACUGAAUGAAUUAGAAGCCAGACCUGUGAGUGUAGGUCUGGUUGUGGUGAAAAUUGCAAAAGACACUAAUUUAAAAGUGAAGCAUUUAGUCCAUCCUAGGUGUUUUUAGUGUCGAGUAGAAUGUAUUUUCAUAAAAUUUUCUCAGUUUUAAAUUGAUGAUUUGUUGUCUUGUACAAAAACAUACAAAAUGAGACCUUUGCUAUGACUAUAAGAACAAUGAAUCUUUCAACAUUUUAUUUUAAAUGUAUAAUAUAAAUUUAUUUAGGAAACUUUUUUUAUUUACAAAACAUUUUAUCUUGCUGGGUGUUAAUAUAAAAGGAAAGGCUUUUACUUUCUUAAACUCUAAAAAAUUUUUAUGUUUAUUUUUGUGAGAGAAAGAGAUAGAGCAUGAGGUGGGAGGGGCAGGGAGCUAGGGAGACACAGAAUUUGAAGCAGGCUCCAGGCCCCACGCUGUCAGAAAGAGCCCAACAUGGGUCUCAAACUCAUGAACCACAAGAUCAUGAUCUGAGCUGAGCCAC
Acinonyx jubatus (cheetah) is the source of this 4156-nucleotide long non-coding RNA. RefSeq lists it as uncharacterized. The transcript has 4 exons. NCBI's taxonomy places the organism in Eukaryota, Metazoa, Chordata, Mammalia, Carnivora, Felidae. The record is from RefSeq and is a predicted model, not a curated record.